RNAcentral lists this long non-coding RNA (825 nucleotides) under Trifolium pratense (red clover). RNAcentral's name for it is "long non-coding RNA (TPRA_LNC007426)". Lineage: Eukaryota; Viridiplantae; Streptophyta; Magnoliopsida; Fabales; Fabaceae. The record is from RNAcentral.
AAAACAAAAAAACGCUUAAGUGUAAAACAACACAAUCAGAUACUAAACGCUAAGACUACCAAGAACCAAAACGCAAAGGAACACGACCCACAUCUCUCUCGCGAUGCAACCCUAGCGCCGUCUACCUCUACCGGCGCCGUCGACCUCUCUCGCUCGCUCGCCGUCGUCCUAAGCGCCGUCGUCCUCUCUCUCUCGCUCGCUCGCCGUCGUCCUCUCUCUCACUCGUCAAAUCGAACUCCAAAUCGAACCCCAAAUCGAACUCCGAUCCAAAUCGAAGCUUUCUCCGGCCUCUACUCUCACGAACGGAACCUUGUCUUUCCCUCUCACAUCGAUUCAGGUACUCUUCUUUCUUUUUUAAUCGUUUUUAAAUUUUUUCUAAACAUGCACUGCGUCCUAUGUUGAUCGAUUCAGGCCUCUACUCCAUGUUCAUUAUAUAAUUAUUCACCGAAUUGAAUUUGGGAAUGGAAAGUUUAAACCCUAAUUUCUAAACAUGCAUUGCGUCCUAUGCUGAUGAUUUUGUUACAAUAGUGCUGCUUUUACAAUUUAACCCCAAUAUUGAUGAUUUAAGGGUAUAUUAACUUGCUAAAAUUCAUAAUCUUAGGGUUGUGAUAUCUUCAGUAACUUUGUUUUCUUUGAUUUUUAUUCACUAUGUGAGUUUGAGUUGUGUUGUUGAUAAUGGAAAUGGAACAGUGAGUCACAAUAACGAUGAUACAACUACAAGUUUAAAGAAUAGUCACAUUCAUCAUUAGCUUUCUCCGAUCCAAAUCGAAGCUUUCUCCGGCCUCUACUCUCACGAACGGAACCUUGUCUUUCCCUCUCACAUCG